RNAcentral lists this ribosomal RNA (468 nucleotides) under uncultured bacterium. Its description in RNAcentral is "partial 16S ribosomal RNA". It matches the Rfam family "Bacterial small subunit ribosomal RNA", at positions 28 to 507 of the family's 1533-position model. The record is from RNAcentral.
GACGAACGCUGGCGGCGUGCUUAACACAUGCAAGUCGAACGGAAAGGCCCUGCUUUUGUGUGGUGCUCGAGUGGCGAACGGGUGAGUAACACGUGAGUAACCUGCCCUUGACUUUGGGAUAACUUCAGGAAACUGGGGCUAAUACCGGAUAGGAGCUCCUGCUGCAUGGUGGGGGUUGGAAAGUUUCGGCGGUUGGGGAUGGACUCGCGGCGUAUCAGCUUGGUGGUGGGGUAGUGGCUUACCAAGGCUUUGACGGGUAGCCGGCCUGAGGGGGUGACCGGCCACAUUGGGACUGAGAUACGGCCCAGACUCCUACGGGAGGCAGCAGUGGGGAAUAUUGCACAAUGGGCGGAAGCCUGAUGCAGCAACGCCGCGUGCGGGAUGACGGCCUUCGGGUUGUAAACCGCUUUCGCCUGUGACGAAGCGUGAGUGACGGUAAUGGGUAAAGAAGCACCGGCUAACUACGUG